GAUUGAAAGGGGCUGCUCCUAGUACGAGAGGACCGGAGUGGACGCACCACUGGUGUUCGGGUUGUCAUGCCAAUGGCACUGCCCGGUAGCUACGUGCGGAAGAGAUAACCGCUGAAAGCAUCUAAGCGGGAAACUUGCCUUGAGAUGAGUCUUCCCUUGUCCUUUAAGGACACUGAAGGAACGUUCGAGACGAGGACGUGGAUAGGCCGGGUGUGUAAGCGUAGCGAUACGUUGAGCUGACCGGUACUAAUGAACCGUGCGGCUUAACCUGACAACACCGAAGGUGUUU
Molecule: ribosomal RNA, 289 nt
Filed under: Xenorhabdus nematophila
Lineage: Bacteria; Pseudomonadati; Pseudomonadota; Gammaproteobacteria; Enterobacterales; Morganellaceae
Description: partial 23S ribosomal RNA
Rfam family: Bacterial large subunit ribosomal RNA
Source: RNAcentral